GGGACACGUGGUAUCCUGUCUGAAUAUGGGGGGACCAUCCUCCAAGGCUAAAUACUCCUGACUGACCGAUAGUGAACCAGUACCGUGAGGGAAAGGCGAAAAGAACCCCGGCGAGGGGAGUGAAAAAGAACCUGAAACCGUGUACGUACAAGCAGUGGGAGCACGCUUAGGCGUGUGACUGCGUACCUUUUGUAUAAUGGGUCAGCGACUUAUAUUCUGUAGCAAGGUUAACCGAAUAGGGGAGCCGAAGGGAAACCGAGUCUUAACUGGGCGUUAAGUUGCAGGGUAUAGACCCGAAACCCGGUGAUCUAGCCAUGGGCAGGUUGAAGGUUGGGUAACACUAACUGGAGGACCGAACCGACUAAUGUUGAAAAAUUAGCGGAUGACUUGUGGCUGGGGGUGAAAGGCCAAUCAAACCGGGAGAUAGCUGGUUCUCCCCGAAAGCUAUUUAGGUAGCGCCUCGUGAAC
Molecule: ribosomal RNA, 468 nt
Filed under: Escherichia coli
Lineage: Bacteria; Pseudomonadati; Pseudomonadota; Gammaproteobacteria; Enterobacterales; Enterobacteriaceae
Description: partial 23S ribosomal RNA
Rfam family: Bacterial large subunit ribosomal RNA
Source: RNAcentral